UACGUAGGUGGCAAGCGUUGUCCGGAAUUACUGGGCGUAAAGGGCGUGUAGGCGGCCUGGUAAGUUAGGAGUGAAACCCGUCGGCUCAACCGACGGCCUGCCUUUGAAACUGGGGGACUUGAGGGCAGGGGAGGGGAGUGGAAUUCCCAGUGUAGCGGUGAAAUGCGUAGAUAUUGGGAGGAACACCAGUGGCGAAGGCGACUUUCUGGUCUGUAACUGACGCUGAGGCGCGAAAGCUAGGGGAGCAAACAGG
RNAcentral lists this ribosomal RNA (253 nucleotides) under uncultured bacterium. RNAcentral's name for it is "partial 16S ribosomal RNA". It matches the Rfam family "Bacterial small subunit ribosomal RNA", at positions 524 to 776 of the family's 1533-position model. The record is from RNAcentral.